UCCGCCGCCGGCGACGAAGGAGCAUAAACCCACCGUCGCUUCCGGCGAAGAUUUCCGUCUAGCACCGCCGAAGCUGGGCGUGAUCUUCGUGAUCUCUUCGAUUCUCUGCUCGCUCUACCUCUACCUUCUCUGUUUCCACUACAAUGUCGAUAAUGAGCUGAAGCGUCCGAUCCUCAUCAACGCUGGGCUUAGCUUGGUGGGGUUCUUCGUCACGCUCAAGUUGAUUCCGGUGGCUGCUAGAUAUGUUCUGAGGCGUAACAUGUUUGGGUUUGAUAUCAAUAAACGAGGCACUCCUCAAGGUGAAGUUAAAGUGUAAGUCUUUACUUCUUUUAAAUUUGUCUUCUUUAGUUGGUACUAGUGUUCAAUCGUUUUCUUGAAUUGGAUGUCUCUUUAGAUUUGAUUUUGUUUGGGGUUGAAAUGAAUGUUUUAUCGAAGUUUAAGAUUUGAUUUGAUCUAUGUGGCAUUUUACUUCUGCUUGUGUGGUGGGAUUAAAGAGCUUUGGUGUGGUGAGUUUCACCAUUUCUCACUUUGUGUUCAUCUGAUCUUUUUGUAGGCCUGAGUCGUUGGGAAUCGUUGUGGGUAUUGUCUUCUUGAUUGUGGCGAUAAUCUUCCAGUUCUUUAACUUCACUGAAGAUUCAUUAGUAAGUGUGCUUGUUCUCAUAAGCUACAAGCUUGCUUUUUAAUAUCUUUUAGCUCAGUAAAGGGUCAACGAUUAGGCCAAGCUCAUGUAAAAUGUAAUAUUUUGUUGUUGGACGGAUGUGAACUAUGAAGUUAGUACCUCUUGGCUCAUUUAGUGCUUUGAAGACACAUUUUGUAACAAUCUGGCUUAAUGACUCUAUGUUGCAGUGGCUUGUGGAGUACAAUGCAGCACUAGCGUCUAUUUGCUUCAUGAUAUUGCUUGGGUUUGUAGAUGACGUCCUUGAUGUGCCUUGGAGAGUGUAGGUGCACUUCUUUAUUUUGUUUGAUUUAACUUUAUAUGUGAACUUUGUUUCAGAUAUUAGUUUUUGUUAAAAUUUGCAGGAAACUUCUCCUGCCAUCUUUUGCAACCCUUCCACUCCUGAUGGCUUACGCUGGACAUACAACUAUCGUCAUACCAAAACCUCUUGUUUCUUAUGUUGGCUUGGAGAUACUUGAUCUAGGUACAAUUCUUCCUUUUUAUAUACUUAGUAUUAUAUUGUGCAGAAACUAAUAUUCAAAGUGAUUUUGCUUAAUUGUAUUGUUAUUGUGGCAGGACGGAUAUAUAAGUUAUAUAUGGCGCUACUGGCUGUCUUCUGCACUAAUUCUAUAAACAUUCACGCUGGUCUGAAUGGCCUUGAGAUCGGACAAACCGUAGUUAUUGCAGCUGCUGUAAGUUCUGCAGUCAAUAUUCUUCAUUAUUUGGUUUCUCUUAAGUGAAGAUAAUGAUGCGUCUCAGUUACUUGUAGAUCUUGAUACACAACGUUAUGCAAAUCGGAGCAUCCGUGGAUUCUGAGCUUCGUCAAGCUCAUGCCUUCUCUAUAUAUCUCACUCAGCCAUUGAUGGCAACAUCCUUGGCUAUGCUUGCUUUCAACUGGUAUUACUUUCAAGUCUUUUCUCUGGAAUACUUAAAAAGUGGAUGCUUACUCUAACCACAUUCAUGUUGUUUAGGUACCCUUCUGCAGUUUUUGUUGGAGACACUUACACAGUCUUUGCUGGAAUGACUAUGGCAGUUGUUGGCAUUCUGGGUCACUUCAGGUGUCUACUUAGUUUCAUCAUUUGCGGUUUUGUAUCUAAUUAAAGUGUGAAGCUUGCAACUAACUAACUAACUAACUCCAUCUUCUGAAACUUCUCCCUUCCAGUGAAACCCUCCUAAUCUUUUUCCUUCCUCAAGUGUUGAACUUUCUGUUGUCACUUCCGCAGGUUUCAUCUCUUUUCUCCCUCUCACACUUUCUUUUACUUAUCAGUUGCUUUGUUAAUCAUCUAACUAGCUAUUUGUGUAACUCUUUAGCUUGCUGGCAUUGUGAAAUGUCCACGGCAUCGUCUCCCCAAGUAAGUUUAUUCUUUCCCCUCUUACAUAAAAGCAGAGCCGACAACGGAUGAGUACGUGACUCGUCCUCUCUCUCUCUCUUUUUUGAACCAGGUUUGAUCCUGCUACGGGAUUACUAACGGGAACAAGAGAUGGGACGCUCGUCAACGUCUACUUGAGGAUUUUUGGUAGGAAGUCAGAAAAGUCUCUGUGUAUUCAUCUUCUUGUUUUCCAGGUAAGCUUCUUAAUGCCCACUCACAGUACAAGUUGGCUUGUUGUUUACUUGUGAGAGAGAGAUUACAAAAUUGGUUUUUGUGUUUAUGUUGCAGGCACUAGCUUGCGCCUUCUGUUUCCUGCUUCGGCAUUUUCUUGCUGGUUGGUACAAAUAAAUCUCUGCAACAUGAAGAAUCUUUUAAACGGCUCCUCGUUUUAUCUCUUCCUUCAAGAAUCACACAUACAGAACUUAGUUUUGUUUUCAUAUCCAUUAGCAAAGAUAGUUUCCAUCCUUAAAACGCGAUCAGUGCUAGUGAAUCUCAAAAAUAUAAGUAUGUUGGUAUUUUGUUACAUUUUCAUCUUAUUGUAGAGAGAAUGAACCAGAUUGAAGCCAAUAGGUGAAUCAAAAACCAUUUAUCAUGGAAUGUUUAUAAUUGCAUAAAAAAUUAUAUAUAAUAUGUAUGUGUAGUCACUUACUAAUAAGCUAGAAUGAUAUAUGUAUUAUCAGCCAUUUAGUGAAGUGGUAUAUAAAUUUAGUUGAGAUAUUUUAUGGAAUUUUCCCUACUAAUGAUAUAAUCAUCAUUCAAAGUUCUGUCAUUUAUCCUUGUAGCCACAUAAAGUUCUUUUGGGGUCGAUUUCAGUUCUGGAAUAGCAUUUUAUUGCAUCUCUAGCCCUUACUUCUAUAAGGAUAUUAUUUUGAAUUAUUAUUACUAUUACCAUUAUUUUAUUAGUUGAAAUUAACAUUAUACUUAGGCUGUUGAUUAGGAAGAAACAUACCCCAGAACUUCUCAAGCUCAGGGGGACCCUUCUGAUUCUCAUCAAACAUAGCGAAUAUAUAAGUCUCUAUAGCUUUCCCUGGCUUUCUCGGAGUUCCACUCUUCACAUGUUGUAUCAAAUUAUUAACAUAAGUCAUUGCAUUCUCCACGCUAGUCCCUGCUCCUCCCUCCGUUGGCCAACCGCUCUCAGACACCACGAUUUCCAACGAUCCUCCCCCUGAUUUCUCCAAUGCUGCAUAGACCGCGUCAAGUUGGGCGUCGAAGAGGUUAUGGUAAGUGUACUGCCCGUCAAUGACUGGAGGGGUCGGUUUGAACAGAGCGUACGCUAGAGGGAUGUCUUUCAUGUCAUCCUUGUAGCUGAAGUAAGGGUAGCUAUUCAAGAGCAGAGGAGAUUGCUUGCUUACCAAGAAACCUAUCACCGGUUGGAGAAAGGUGAUAUAGUCAUCUCUGAAUCUUCCGUGAGACGGAGGGUACGUGUCCAUGGUGGCUCCCAUGUCUAUAGCCGUCGACACCUUGAUCCCAAGGCCUGCUCUAGAAACCGCGUUAUCGAUGUUUUUCAUGGCCUGGAAGAGAGCCCUCGCAGCUGGCUCCGAGGGUUCCACCUCGUUUCCGACCGUGAUGUACCUGAAUCUGACACCCUCGUAGUUCUUGACGUUGUUGCAGAUCCACGUGUCGGCCUCGGCUUGGCUGGAGGCGAUGCGUUCGAGGUCUGAUUUAGGAACGUCGAGGAUGAGCUCGAUGUUGGAGUUGCGGAGAGCGUUGAGAGUGUCAUGGUCGGGGUCGUAGAUUCGCAUCCUCUGGAUGUUGCGGUGCUUGUAAAGAGCCACCACAUCUGAUGGACUUGGCCGGGGAUUGCCUAACCUUCCAUAGCAUACUCCGAUUUGUGCAGCUAUAUAUAUCAUUAGUAAUAGAAUUGCAUCAAAUAAUGUAAUAUCAAUAUGGUCAUACGAUAUGAUUAAUGGGUGUUACAUAAGGUUAAAAGAUGAUUAUACACGUGGUGUCGGAAAAGGAAGCCAUUAGAAGGCUGAGAAGAAUCAGCAACAUUGGUGAUGCAGGUAUCUAUUACAUUUUUUCCAUAUAGUUGAAUUACGCCAUGUGGUAAUACUAUAUAUGUUAUGCUGUGUGUAUUUAGGAUUCUGGUAUGGAGUGGAUAAUUCAUCUUGACACCGACGAGCUUAUUUAUCCUUCUGGAACCUCCUAUGAGUAUUCUUUAAGGAAAUUGCUUGGAAAUAUCUCUGCAGACGUUGACGCAGUUAUCUUUCCAAACUAUGUGAGUCUUACGGAGUGGACGAUUUUUCAUCUUUAUACUGAAUAUAAUGCCUUCUUGAUUCUGGAUUUUCAUCAGCAUUGUCUUCUUGUUUCAGGAGAGCAGCGUUGAGCGAGAUGAUAUCAAAGAACCUUUCAGUGAGGUAUCAAUGUUCAAGAAGAACUAUGACCAUCUUCCGAGGGAUGUUUACUUUGGAAACUAUAAAGAAGCCACUCGUGGAAAUCCAAACUAUUUCUUAACCUAUGGAAAUGGAAAAGCUGCAGCUCGUGUUCAGAACCAUCUUCGUCCCAAUGGUGCUCAUAGAUGGCACAACUACAGGAAGAGUCCAAAGUAUGCUCUUCUCUCGUUGGGCUCUUAGACCACUUCUUGGUCUAUCAUUCUAGAGUUGUUUAUUCAAUAGAAACUUCUUUUGCAUGCUUUUUUGCUUCGUAAUGACACAUUGACUUGCCUGAGCCUGUUAAUUUCAACUGUGGCAUCAUUUUUGACAGAGAGAUCAAACUAGAAGAAUCGGCCAUUCUGCACUACACUUAUCCCAAGUUUUCAGAUCUUACUUCAAGACGUGAUCGUUGUGGUUGCAAGCCUACUAAGGUGGAUGUUAAGAGAUGUUUCAUGUUGGAGUUUGACAGAGCUGUGAGUGGGGGAUUGAUUCCUUUUUUUCUUGUUUACUGUUGUGAAGCAUACAAGUCACAGUCAUCAUUUUUGUGUAGGCAUUUAUCAUUGCUUCAACCGCAAGCUCAGAGGAAAUGCUUCAAUGGUAUAUCGAUUUUAAUAAUCCACUACUCUUGAUUCAUCUUUCCGAUGGUGCAUUCUAACAAGCUACAUUAUAUACAGGUACAGAGAGCACGUUGUGUGGACAGACGACACAUUGAAGUUGAAACUCCUUAGGAAGGGAAUUCUAACUCGCAUUUAUGCCCCCAUGGUAAGAAGUAACCACAAACCUAAACCUUGUGCUUAAUGCUUGGUUUUCCACAAGCUGCAUUCAUCUUUUUUUUUUGUCACAGGUUAUAAUCCAAGAGUUAAGAGAGGCAGGUGUGUUCAGCUCCGUGGUAAACUCAGCUCACAUGUCUCUGAACAACUCUUCAACCGUAAGCAUAAGCCGAGAAUCAUCUCAGGUUACUGGUAGGAGGAGGGUAUUGGAAGCUCAUCUUGAUCUUGACAGUGAAUCUAUAGCAUCAGCCAUACCACCACAAUCACCUCCAGGCUUGGAACCAUUAUCUGAGUAGCUUUUUUUCAUAAAGAUGAGGGAGGACCUUAGAAUGAUAUUCACAGGUUUUGAACAUGAGCUCUGGUGUACAUUUCGGAAAAGUUUUUUCCUUUAUAGGUUAUACACAGACACAGAUGAAUAGAAUGUUAGCAGGCUUCUAUCCUAUGUAAUAUCCAGAACAUUUGACCAUGUUGAUUAUAUUACUUCAAAUACAAAGUCAUCGCCUUUCUGAUCCAACUGGUUCUCUUCUGGGUUAUGUUGUUUCUGACACAGUUUGUGUCUUAUGGGUUCUGAGUUACUCAGCUAAUGUUUGAGCAGGAGCACCAACUUUAAAAGAAGGGAAUUUGACAAGGGCCGUUGCUUAUUUGGUUAGGACUUUAAUGUUAAAAAGAACUAAAUUAUGGGCGUUUUUAGCAAUUCUGAUUUCUUGUGGGGUGAAAUUGAAAACUUUGUUAUACUCUUGAUACGGUGUCGUAUCGUCAUCUCCAGCUUGAGCUUGUGACGCGUGCGGUGGUUUAGCGAAAAGUCUGAGAGCCGAAGGAGGAGCCAACGGAUCCGCCAUGACUGCUCGUAAGAGAACUUCUUCGGUGGCUAAGUCAGAGAAUCCGCCGCCGGCGACGAAGGAGCAUAAACCCACCGUCGCUUCCGGCGAAGAUUUCCGUCUAGCACCGCCGAAGCUGGGCGUGAUCUUCGUGAUCUCUUCGAUUCUCUGCUCGCUCUACCUCUACCUUCUCUGUUUCCACUACAAUGUCGAUAAUGAGCUGAAGCGUCCGAUCCUCAUCAACGCUGGGCUUAGCUUGGUGGGGUUCUUCGUCACGCUCAAGUUGAUUCCGGUGGCUGCUAGAUAUGUU
Molecule: long non-coding RNA, 6295 nt
Filed under: Brassica napus (rape)
Lineage: Eukaryota; Viridiplantae; Streptophyta; Magnoliopsida; Brassicales; Brassicaceae
Description: long non-coding RNA (BNAP_LNC026960)
Source: RNAcentral